This 388-nucleotide ribosomal RNA is filed under the name uncultured bacterium. Its description in RNAcentral is "bacterial SSU rRNA". It matches the Rfam family "Bacterial small subunit ribosomal RNA", at positions 37 to 433 of the family's 1533-position model. The record is from RNAcentral.
UGGCGGCAUGCCUUACACAUGCAAGUCGAACGGUAGAGGGGCNACCCUCGAGAGUGGCGAACGGGUGAGUAACGCAUCGGAACGUGCCCAGUCGUGGGGGAUAACACUUCGAAAGAAGUGCUAAUACCGCAUACGACCUGAGGGUGAAAGCGGGGGAUCGCAAGACCUCGCGCGAUUGGAGCGGCCGAUGUCAGAUUAGGUAGUUGGUGGGGUAAAGGCCUACCAAGCCGACGAUCUGUAGCUGGUCUGAGAGGACGACCAGCCACACUGGGACUGAGACACGGCCCAGACUCCUACGGGAGGCAGCAGUGGGGAAUUUUGGACAAUGGGCGCAAGCCUGAUCCAGCCAUGCCGCGUGCAGGAAGAGGGNCUUCGGGUUGUAAACUGC